AACGAACGCUGGCGGCAUGCCUAACACAUGCAAGUCGAACGAGACCUUCGGGUCUAGUGGCGCACGGGUGCGUAACGCGUGGGAACCUGCCCUUAGGUUCGGAAUAACUCCCCGAAAGGGGUGCUAAUAACGGAUAAUGUCUUCGGACCAAAGAUUUAUCGCCUUUGGAUGGGCCCGCGUUGGAUUAGCUAGUUGGUAGGGUAAAAGCCUACCAAGGCGACGAUCCAUAGCUGGUCUGAGAGGAUGAUCAGCCACACUGGGACUGAGACACGGCCCAGACUCCUACGGGAGGCAGCAGUGGGGAAUAUUGGACAAUGGGCGAAAGCCUGAUCCAGCAAUGCCGCGUGAGUGAUGAAGGCCUUAGGGUUGUAAAGCUCUUUUACCCGGGAUGAUAAUGACAGUACCGGGAGAAUAAGCUCCGGCUAACUCCGU
RNAcentral lists this ribosomal RNA (432 nucleotides) under uncultured bacterium. RNAcentral's name for it is "partial 16S ribosomal RNA". It matches the Rfam family "Bacterial small subunit ribosomal RNA", at positions 29 to 506 of the family's 1533-position model. The record is from RNAcentral.